RNAcentral lists this ribosomal RNA (414 nucleotides) under Triticum aestivum (bread wheat). Its description in RNAcentral is "partial small subunit ribosomal RNA". The record is from RNAcentral. Lineage: Eukaryota; Viridiplantae; Streptophyta; Magnoliopsida; Poales; Poaceae.
AUGGCUGCUCCCACGCCGACCUUCUUCCUCGCCCCUGAUGCCGCUACUGUCUCCUCUCCGGUGAGUGCGGAGGAGCCACCGCCGUCGAGGCAGCCGCCGGCUGGAGCCCCGCCUCUUCUCCUCUCCGGUCGUCGUGGAGGUCCGCCGCGUCCAACCUCCUCGACGCCGCCCGGAACCCUAGGCGGCCCAUCUGUUCCUCCCAUGGCCAUGGCCAUGGCGAGCCUGCAAGAUGUGCAGCAGCAGAUCUUCGAGUACAACGGCUCCGCACCCUGCAGCCACCGGUCCGGGACGAGCGCAGCGCCGGUUCGGGUGUCCUGCGCCAACCAGAGCGCGCCCCAGGUGCUCGACAGAACGCCCGCUGCACCGCCUGGUCUCAACUUUCUUUCCCUUUGCCAAGCUGAGGGAGAGGGCUAG